This 423-nucleotide ribosomal RNA is filed under the name Bacillus sp. B86. RNAcentral's name for it is "bacterial SSU rRNA". It matches the Rfam family "Bacterial small subunit ribosomal RNA", at positions 73 to 484 of the family's 1533-position model. Lineage: Bacteria; Bacillati; Bacillota; Bacilli; Caryophanales; Bacillaceae. The record is from RNAcentral.
UCAGAGACUCUUCUGAGUCURGCGGCGGACCGCGAUGAGCUAAUCACAGUGGGCMACCUGCCUGUUAGAGACUCGCGUGAUAUAACCGGGAAACCGGUGCUAAUACCGGAUAAUCCUUUUCCUCUCAUGAGGAAAAGCUGAAAGWCGGUUUCGGCUGACACUUACAGAUGGGCCCGCGGCGCAUUAGCUAGUUGGUGAGGUAACGGCUCACCAAGGCGACGAUGCGUAGCCGACCUGAGAGGGUGAUCGGCCACACUGGGACUGAGACACGGCCCAGACUCCUACGGGAGGCAGCAGUAGGGAAUCUUCCACAAUGGACGAAAGUCUGAUGGAGCAACGCCGCGUGAGCGAUGAAGGCCUUCGGGUCGUAAAGCUCUGUUGUUAGGGAAGAACAAGUACCGGAGUAACUGCCGGUACCUUGAC